This 170-nucleotide microRNA precursor is filed under the name Linum usitatissimum (flax). Lineage: Eukaryota; Viridiplantae; Streptophyta; Magnoliopsida; Malpighiales; Linaceae. The record is from RNAcentral.
UGAGUAAUGAUGAUCCUGAAGGUAUUGGCGCGGCUCAAUCGGAAGACAUGGCUAAUAAUAUUGAUACCAGAUGAUGGAUGACCGAAUGAGUAAAUAUUGAUAAGAUUGAUGAUGAUUAAUUAGCCAUGUGAUUUUGAUUGAGCCGCGUCAAUAUCCUCCUCUUCUACUCA